Molecule: small nucleolar RNA, 135 nt
Filed under: Catagonus wagneri (Chacoan peccary)
Lineage: Eukaryota; Metazoa; Chordata; Mammalia; Artiodactyla; Tayassuidae
Source: RNAcentral
CUCUUUCUAAAAGCACUCAGAGGGCCCUUUGAUAAUGACCCACUGAGCCAUAAGAAAGGACAGAAUGAAAACACCACUUUUGGGUGAAGCAGCAGUGUGUUGUGUUGUUUUCCUUCAAUUGGUGGCAUGACAAGG